This 404-nucleotide ribosomal RNA is filed under the name bacterium. RNAcentral's name for it is "partial 16S ribosomal RNA". It matches the Rfam family "Bacterial small subunit ribosomal RNA", at positions 355 to 777 of the family's 1533-position model. The record is from RNAcentral. RNAcentral also lists the same sequence under 2 other names.
UGGGGAAUAUUGCACAAUGGAGGGAACUCUGAUGCAGCGACGCCGCGUGAACGAAGAAGGCUUUCGAGUCGUAAAGUUCUUUUAUAUGGGAAGAUAAUGACGGUACCAUAAGAAAAAGCCCCGGCUAACUACGUGCCAGCAGCCGCGGUAAUACGUAGGGGGCUAGCGUUGUCCGGAAUCACUGGGCGUAAAGGGUUCGCAGGCGGAAAUGCAAGUCAGGUGUAAAAGGCAGUAGCUUAACUACUGUAAGCAUUUGAAACUGCAUAUCUUGAGAAGAGUAGAGGUAAGUGGAAUUUUUAGUGUAGCGGUGAAAUGCGUAGAUAUUAAAAAGAAUACCGGUGGCGAAGGCGACUUACUGGGCUCAUUCUGACGCUGAGGAACGAAAGCGUGGGUAGCAAACAGGA